Molecule: long non-coding RNA, 1304 nt
Organism: Acanthochromis polyacanthus (spiny chromis)
Lineage: Eukaryota; Metazoa; Chordata; Actinopteri; Pomacentridae
Exons: 2
Source: RefSeq, a predicted model, not a curated record
ACAUGCUAAACUGUUGAAUAGUUUACCUGAAGAAAAGUGGGAGCCACAAACACGAUCUCUGCUGCUUUCCUGUUGAUGGCUGAAGCCACCGCCAUCUUCUCUCUCCUGACAUCGGUAUUCAGUGAAAUUCCAAGCCUGAUCCCUUCUCAAAACGCUUCGUACAACCAACAACUACACACGAUAUUACCAUUGUGGUAAAUACAUGUGACAUUUCAUUCAUGAAAAGCGAUAACUUUACGUAUUUGUUUCAAACCCGAUACCGUUCUCGUAGCAAGCCGUUAUGUUACUGCCGGUUCUUGCCAACCAGCAGCGGUCUUGUACCACGUGACCAUAGCUAAUGACGACACGCUGGCGUCUCCCAUUGUUUGCCAGCCAGUUAGCCGCUGGUAAGCUAACAAGCUAUGAAACAACUCCUUAUAAACCGGAGGAAAGCAGCAGCAAUAUUUCAGUCCAAGACCUGUAUUCAGAACCUCCCACGCUGUUACACAAUGACCCAUUAAUCAUAUUACUGAACUAUAUGGUUAUCAUUGAAAUUUCCCUUGAAGAACCAGUGAACUCUUUGCGAACACAUUUUAAUUUAUGUGUUGAUUAUGUUUCGUAUCAGUAAUACAAGUCUAAAAAACUGAUUCAAAUGAUCAAGUUAACACAAUGAAGUAAAGAGUACUGGUAAUCUGCAGCUAUUUUCAUAAUUUCAAGGUGAAAUUCUGAUGUGUGAUUUUCUAGCUUUGCAGAUGUGGAAAUCCAAUGCACUGAUUUCUUAUACACAGAUGCUUUUGGUGUUUUUUGUUGUAAAAUAAAACAAGGCAUUUAUCACUGUUGGAAAUGAUUACAGGUAUUAUUUGUAACACUUUCUAACAUUGUAUGGACAAAGCAAUAAAUCAGUUAAUGGAUAAAAUCAUUUGUAUUACAGAUGCUAUCAACAGCAUGUCUUGUUCAUUUUAUUUAGUUGUCGGCCUUGGAUGAUGAGGUCCAGUUACCAGGAGCACUAGUCUGCAGCUUGCUGGUUCCGUCCUGCAGCUCCUCCACGCCGUCCUCCUCUCUACAGACCAAAUCAAGAAAAGGGAACCAGGAAGCUGCUGUGGAUCCUCUGCAGUAUCUGGACAGGUCAGAGGAACGGUUCUUGGAACAGAUCGGAAGACACCAAGACGUGACCUCUGCCAUGCUCCAGAACAUCCAGAAGAUGAAUGAAAACCUUGGUUGCACUGAUGGGACGCAUGGUGUCGGUGCUGGAGCAACUGUCCCAGAAUUAAACUGCAUUGUUGACGAUUGGCUUUUCUAGAAAAUAAAUCUUUUUUAGUACUUCA